Molecule: long non-coding RNA, 229 nt
Filed under: Zostera marina
Lineage: Eukaryota; Viridiplantae; Streptophyta; Magnoliopsida; Alismatales; Zosteraceae
Description: long non-coding RNA (ZMAR_LNC003052)
Source: RNAcentral
GUGUGUUGGUGGGAGAUCGAUUUCCUGAGCGGUAGAGUAAGCUGCAAGUGUAGCAUCAGCUGCUUCAUCACGGUGAUCCCCAGUCUUGAACUCCGCAAGGUAUCUGUGGUAAUCGCCUUUCAUUUUGAGGUAGAAGACUUUGGAUUCCGGUGAGUUUGCAGACGGAAUGAGGUGAGAUCCGAGCAGGUUCAGGAUUUUGUUGCAUAUCGAGUCCAUUUCGGAUUCGAUC